UACGUAGGGUGCAAGCGUUGCUCGGAAUUAUUGGGCGUAAAGGGCAAGUAGGUGGUCUCAUUUGUCAGGGGUGAAAGCCUUGGGCUUAACUCAAGAAGUGCCCCUGAAACGGUGAGACUGGAGUACUGGGGAGGGUCGUGGAAUUCCCGGUGUAGCGGUGAAAUGCGUAGAGAUCGGGAGGAACACCAGAGGCGAAGGCGGCGACCUGGACAGUUACUGACACUCAACUGCGAAAGCGUGGGGAGCAAACAGG
Molecule: ribosomal RNA, 253 nt
Filed under: uncultured bacterium
Lineage: Bacteria
Description: partial 16S ribosomal RNA
Rfam family: Bacterial small subunit ribosomal RNA
Source: RNAcentral